This 358-nucleotide ribosomal RNA is filed under the name Limosilactobacillus reuteri. RNAcentral's name for it is "bacterial SSU rRNA". It matches the Rfam family "Bacterial small subunit ribosomal RNA", at positions 1113 to 1473 of the family's 1533-position model. The record is from RNAcentral. Lineage: Bacteria; Bacillati; Bacillota; Bacilli; Lactobacillales; Lactobacillaceae.
AGUUGCCAGCAUUGAGUUGGGCGCUGUAGUGAGACUGCCGGUGACAAACCGGAGGAAGGCGGGGACGACGUCAGAUCAUCAUGCCCCUUAUGACCUGGGCUACACACGUGCUACAAUGGACGGUACAACGAGUCGCAAACUCGCGAGAGUAAGCUAAUCUCUUAAAGCCGUUCUCAGUUCGGACUGUAGGCUGCAACUCGCCUACACGAAGUCGGAAUCGCUAGUAAUCGCGGAUCAGCAUGCCGCGGUGAAUACGUUCCCGGGCCUUGUACACACCGCCCGUCACACGCAUGGGAGUUUGUAACGCCCAAAGUCGGUGGCCUAACCUUUAUGGAGGAGCCGCCUAAGCGAAGAAAUG